This 547-nucleotide long non-coding RNA is filed under the name Phasianus colchicus (ring-necked pheasant). Its description in RNAcentral is "lncRNA (ENSPCLG00000004947.1)". The record is from RNAcentral. Lineage: Eukaryota; Metazoa; Chordata; Aves; Galliformes; Phasianidae.
UUCACAGCGGCGGUCAAUUACAUUCGAGCAUAUAUAAGAUGAGGAGAGUCAGGCGCCAGUUUUCUCCUCGCUCGCUUCAGGUGAAGCAGAAACUCCUAUGGCCACCAGCUGCUAUUUGCCCCCGGAGAGGGUUUACGAGCACAACAAUCCCGUCCCAAAAUAAUGACCUUAGGUAAAACAACUCACAACAGCGCUCUCUAGGCUGCAGUAAGUUGUGCCAGACAGGAUGCUCUCUGCAGAGAGCCCUCCAUCCACGCUCUCCGUGCCUCGAGGAAGGCUUUCCUCUGCCCUUGGCUGCCCAACGCGCAGAGGCGGAGGGCUCACAGCUUUGCUCUCUGCUUCCCCAGGACGCCCGGAGCCCUCGCAGGAUACGAGGCCGGGCUGCGGGCUGUCUGUGGGGCAGGGGCUGAGCCCGGCGCCGGGAGGUGCCUGCCCCGAGCUGGUACCCCGGGCACAGCCCGGCACCCGGCGGUGUUUACCCAUGACUCAGGGCCAGGCGAGGGAUGCAAAGACUUCGCAAGGAAGCUUUUCUGCCAUCUUCAGUUGA